AGCUACUGCCAUGCCACCCUGAACAAGCCCAAUCCCGUCUGAUUUCAGAAGCUAAGCAGGGUGGGGCCUGGUUAGUACUUGGAUGGGAGACCACCUAGGAAGACCAGGUGCUAUAGGUG
RNAcentral lists this ribosomal RNA (119 nucleotides) under Pteropus alecto (black flying fox). Lineage: Eukaryota; Metazoa; Chordata; Mammalia; Chiroptera; Pteropodidae. The record is from RNAcentral.